RNAcentral lists this ribosomal RNA (253 nucleotides) under uncultured bacterium. Its description in RNAcentral is "partial 16S ribosomal RNA". It matches the Rfam family "Bacterial small subunit ribosomal RNA", at positions 524 to 776 of the family's 1533-position model. The record is from RNAcentral.
UACGGAGGGUGCAAGCGUUAAUCGGAAUUACUGGGCGUAAAGCGCGCGUAGGCGGUUUUUUGAGUCGGAUGUGAAAGCCCCGGGCUCAACCUGGGAACUGCAUCCGAUACUGGAAGACUAGAAUGCGGGAGAGGGAGGUAGAAUUCCAUGUGUAGCAGUGAAAUGCGUAGAUAUAUGGAGGAAUACCAGUGGCGAAGGCGGCCUCCUGGCUCGACAUUGACGCUGAGGUGCGAAAGCGUGGGGAGCAAACGGG